RNAcentral lists this ribosomal RNA (495 nucleotides) under uncultured bacterium. RNAcentral's name for it is "partial 16S ribosomal RNA". It matches the Rfam family "Bacterial small subunit ribosomal RNA", at positions 28 to 507 of the family's 1533-position model. The record is from RNAcentral.
GAUGAACGCUGGCGGCGUGCCUAAUACAUGCAAGUAGAACGCUGAAGGAGGAGCUUGCUCUUCUGGAUGAGUUGCGAACGGGUGAGUAACGCGUAGGUAACCUGCCUGGUAGCGGGGGAUAACUAUUGGAAACGAUAGCUAAUACCGCAUGACAACAGUUAUUGCAUGAUAACUGUUUAAAAGGGGCAACUGCUCCACUACCAGAUGGACCUGCGUUGUAUUAGCUAGUUGGUGAGGUAACGGCUCACCAAGGCGACGAUACAUAGCCGACCGGAGAGGGUGAUCGGCCAGACUGGGACGGAGACACGGCCCAGACGCCUACGGGAGGCAGCAGUAGGGAAUCGUCGGCAAUGGACGGAAGUCUGACCGAGCAACGCCGCGGGAGUGAAGAAGGGUGUCGGAUCGGAAAGCUCGGUUGUAAGAGAAGAACGAGUGUGAGAGUGGAAAGUUCACACUGUGACGGUAUCUGACCAGAAAGGGACGGCUAACUACGUG